This is a non-coding RNA of Durio zibethinus, 1840 nucleotides long. NCBI's taxonomy places the organism in Eukaryota, Viridiplantae, Streptophyta, Magnoliopsida, Malvales, Malvaceae. The record is from RefSeq and is a predicted model, not a curated record.
UGGAUUGUUAAUAGGGCAGGUGCCAGAAAAUAAAGCGAGUAGAUAACAGAGAGGAUGCCGGGAGCAGUUGAACUGUGAUUUUUCGAAAAUUUUAAGGAUCUUUUUUCUAGUUGCUUAAAUUUUCCCGCUCGACAGCAAUGAACCCUUACAAAAUUCGGACACAAGUUCUGUGUUCGUUUGUGCCUUAAAAAAGCAAGAACUUAUGUUUGAGAAAAAAUAUUCAAAGUAAAAAACAACAAUCAUGGAGGAGCCUGUCGAAGAACAACAACCUACUGUUCAAAAUUCUGGGAGUGCAGAGAAUUCGAAGCUACGUUAUCCACUUCGAUCGUCAACGAAAUCAAAGGAGGAGAAGCCAACGACGCGUGAUUUAUCCAAUUCUUCUUCAUCCACAAGGGGGAGGGCAACACCAAGUGUUAGCAAGAGAGUGAAAUCAGCCAAGCCACCCAGAAGGCUCUCUAUUCCGACCAAAUCAACUGUGACUCCAUCUCCGAAAUUCGUCGGGAUAAUCAAUCCUAUAUCUGAGGCUAGAGCCAAGAAAUCUACAAAUGGUCAGGGCAAAAGUGACACACCUCUUUCUGAUGCUUCUAGGUCGGCAACUCGAGGGAGGUUCAAUGUUCUGUCAUCAGCUCCAUACUGGCUGUCGCAGAUUAAGCUCUCUGAAUCAGCAUCUAAGCAUUCAGUCUCAAUUGGGUUUUUCAAACUGGCCUUUGAAGCGGGAUGUGAGCCCUUUCAGAAAAUGCAUGAUGAGCUAAAAUCAUAUGUACGUCGCCAUAAUCUUGGUGAAAGUGGGGAAGCUAUAAAGGAACUACUUGAAAUCUACAAUGUUUCAGCAAAUUCAGAUCAGCCACAGGUGUCUGAAACCUGUUCUCUGGUGCCCGAGGAGGGGACUCGGUCAUCUGAUGAUGAGGUUCACAGCGUUUCUUCUGCAGAGGGAUCGAGGAAAGUGAAACCCAAGUCCCUGAAUAAUGAUGCUGCUCAAGUAUCAUCCGUGGCCAAAUCAGCAAAAGAGGCCACUCCAAAGAAUAAUCCUGCAACUAGGAAUAAGGUUUUGAACAAGAACAGUUCAAAUUCAAGGUCUGCUUCAGACAUCGGAUGCCGUAAGUUACAGAAGAGAACCAAGUCAGAGCCUGUUAAAGGAAAGGACAAGACUAAGAGUCCGGCAACCAAAUUACCUAAUCAAGAAGGUCAAGUUAGUCCUUCAGCUGCAGGAGUGACUGCUGAAGAGGACAAAAAAAAUAUGGAUGUGCCUUUGACAGAAUAAAUCAGCCUGCUUGAUUGGUGGAGGCGGUGUUCUGCACUAAGUAUGCUGUGAACCAAAUUAAUUCCAUCCUCUAUUGGGCUCUUCGUUGUGUAUAUUGGGUUGCUUGUAUAUGGGUUAAAGUGAAGUGUUCCAAUCUGGUGUGAAGUCAAGACCUUCUGUUUUUUCUUGGGUUGCUGCUUGAAACUAGGAUUGUUUGUGUCUGAUCAUAAAACUGUGAGCUGAAUUCAUUCAAGGCACGUCAGAAUUAAUUUCAUGAUCCAUAGCCAAGUAUCCAUCCAAGUUACAAGAGGACCAAGAGCAGACAGAAGAUAAAAGUCAAACCAAUUAAGCUAAAAAAUCCAACCUUGUAGACAAACAAAGAAGACGUAACAAACCCAUCAACGUAUAUGCAUCAGAGAUUUUCCUUUUAGUACAAAUUCACCCCAAAAAUUUCCAAGAAAUUAGGAAUACCCAAAAGUGAUAACAUAAGAAAACAACAACCAGAAAAAAGAAUUGGGUAUCCCUAAAAUUUUAUAAAAUAUAUCGGACAAAGAGAAAUACAUAGAAAACAACAUGAGAAUCGAAGUGGGUAUCUUCGAA